CACGUAGGGUGCGAGCGUUGUCCGGAAUUAUUGGGCGUAAAGAGCUCGUAGGCGGUGUGUCGCGUCGGCCGUGAAAACCUGCAGCUUAACUGUGGGCUUGCGGUCGAUACGGGCAUCACUGGAGUUCGGCAGGGGAGACUGGAAUUCCUGGUGUAGCGGUGAAAUGCGCAGAUAUCAGGAGGAACACCGGUGGCGAAGGCGGGUCUCUGGGCCGAUACUGACGCUGAGGAGCGAAAGCGUGGGGAGCGA
Molecule: ribosomal RNA, 249 nt
Filed under: uncultured bacterium
Lineage: Bacteria
Description: partial 16S ribosomal RNA
Rfam family: Bacterial small subunit ribosomal RNA
Source: RNAcentral